CCCACCAGAGUCGCCAGAGCUGUCACACCUCCUUUUUCCUACACCCCGAGAAAGAGUGUAAGAGAGUUUUUCCAAUUAAAGUGACAAUCGAAACGGGAUUGUUUUAUUUAAAAUUCAGAGUCGCCACUUGGGAUAAUUUAUGGUGUCCCAAGUCACCAGUUCAAAUCCUGAAUCGAGGAAAAGGUUGACUCUGUUUUACAGUCCGUGAACACAGAAAUCCGGGUAAGGAAUUCUGUUAACCCGGGAGAAGGUGUUAGGCAUUCCCGAGUUCCGUGGUUCUAGCACGGUCACUCAACUGUUAUUAUUGGCCUACUUAUCUAAUUUUAAAAACAUUUUUAUACCUAUGUGCUUUUUAACUCUUAAACCGCUUUUAUUCAUUUUAGGAAGAUUUCAACGUUAUACAAAACACGUCUUUGGAUCACGCCACAUGAAAUGCACCCGCGAUCCGCGACAUAUUUUAUUUAGUGUUGUUAGGAUUUGGAUUGGGUCACAUGAAAUGCACACCCGAGUUUAGGGAGGUAAUUUUAAGUUAUGCGGCUAAAGCAAACUACGAAAUUCAUUUUUAGUAUCUAAGUUAUAAAUAUGUGAGGGCCAUGAGCAAUUUAAUUAUGGAUGGCACACCUCAAUCUAUCCUUAAGGAAUCGUAAUUAUGUCACGCGAACGUGUCCACAAUCACGACGAUAUAUUAAUAAUGCGCCUGAAGGUUUGCCUACCCGGGUGUGGUGGGCCUAAACAUGCUCCUACCGAUUUUAGACAAGUAAAUAAAUAAAAGUAAUAAAAAUCAUCGCAUACCCAAAUAUUCAAUUCUAUCUACAAGCCUAUAGUCCAUUAUUUAAUUUGUUUGCUAAAUAACUCACAAAUCAAUACCAAUUUAUCACGAUUAUCCCCAACAUCCCAAUUACUGUCUCCAUUCAGCUUAAGCUUUAAUACAAAAAUUGUUGACAAUUAAAAUUUCAAACAAAGACAAGACUCAAAGAAAUGUGAAACGAAAAUUUGCAAAUCAUUCACAAAACAAUCAUUAAAGCAUGAAUUGCAAACAAAUACAAACAACUCACGGGAGAUAAACCAAAAAACAAAGGAAAGGGAAAGAAUGAACCUUAGAUGAAUCCCUCUUUUAUGUUGAAUAAUAGAACUCCAAAUCAAGUGCACAUCAACAAAGUUGCUUCAAGCUCACGAACCCGGACCGGAAAUCCCUCUACUCUGUUUUCUCUAUCUAUUUUCCGUGUGUGUGUAUAAUGAGUGUGUGUUUAUGUAUUUUCGAGAAUGAAGGGAGUGAAAACAUAAGAAGGAAUAUGUAAGAAAAUUUGAACCCAAGCGAUGAAGAAGAUCGGAGUUGCAGGUGGCGAACGACGUCCUCCGUUUUGUUGGACUGAAAAUUACCGUUCCACUCACUCUCGUCCCCUUCCCUAUGUGGAAUUUGGGUGCUUGCUGUUUGCUUAGUGUUUGUUCACCAGGUGGAAGCAAUUGAAGGUUAGCUAGUUAUGGUGGAACAUGGAAUUGUUGAAAGCAAGGUCUAAGGAGUCACUCUGCGGUGCUAGGGAUUCAUUUUCUC
This 1552-nucleotide long non-coding RNA is filed under the name Nicotiana tabacum (common tobacco). RNAcentral describes it as "long non-coding RNA (NTAB_LNC001618)". Lineage: Eukaryota; Viridiplantae; Streptophyta; Magnoliopsida; Solanales; Solanaceae. The record is from RNAcentral.